Molecule: ribosomal RNA, 330 nt
Filed under: uncultured bacterium
Lineage: Bacteria
Description: bacterial SSU rRNA
Rfam family: Bacterial small subunit ribosomal RNA
Source: RNAcentral
UCCGUAGGCGGUGUGGCAAGUCGGUAGUGAAACCUCUGGGCUUAACCCAGAGACUGCUGCCGAAACUGCUGUGCUAGAGUGUGAGAGAGGCGAGUGGAAUUACGGGUGUAGCGGUGAAAUGCGUAGAUAUCCGUAGGAACAUCCGAGGCGAAAGCGGCUCGCUGGAUCACAACUGACGCUGAGGGACGAAAGCUAGGGGAGCAAACAGGAUUAGAUACCCUGGUAGUCCUAGCCCUAAACCAUCAGGACUUGGGGUUUGCCCUGUACGGGGCAAGUCCCGUAGCUAACGCGUUAAGUCCUGCGCCUGGGGAGUACGGUCGCAAGGCUGAA